GAGUCUGGUCCCAAGCUGCAAGAACCACUCAGGCACAAGAGGCCUACACUGCAACUUCUCAAAUUGGAUUAACCUAGUAGGAACAAAAGAAUAGAAAUCAACAAAUUUUCAGAACUAGAAAGCAAAUGGAGGACCGCUCACUGACCAAGCAGGGUGAAUAACACUCAAGUGCCUAUAAAGAGGGAGUCUGAUGAAAAGGAGACCCACCCACCUAACAGAUACUCCAGAGAGACUCAAUACGGCAGGAAAUUGAAAAAUUCUUCGCUGGAGACAAGACCUCAACAUACUGACCUUUGGAAGCUCCUAGUAAAAAGCCUGCCUCACUCCUUGUUUAGCCUACUCAACAGCUGACAAUCACCUCUAUCCCUAAAUUAAAUAUGAACAUAAGAUAAAGGAUCAUCAGUGUGAGAGCAUCAAGACUGGUCACCAUAUCGCCACCUUGUGAGCACCAUAUCAUGGUCCCAACACCAGGACAGCUCCUGCUGAACACAGAAUGACUCCAGAAUCCCUUCCCACUAGGAAGAAUCUUGGAACCACUAAUUUCAUCAGACUCCUGUGAUGCUAACCUUGUGGUUGACCAGACUGAGACCAAGAAGAAGACUCACUUGUUAAUGGUUGAGUAAGGCUGAGAAAGCUA
This 637-nucleotide long non-coding RNA is filed under the name Cervus hanglu yarkandensis (Yarkand deer). Its description in RNAcentral is "lncRNA (ENSCHYG00000012352.1)". Lineage: Eukaryota; Metazoa; Chordata; Mammalia; Artiodactyla; Cervidae. The record is from RNAcentral.